AUCAUUAUAAGUACGACCAGACAUAAUAAUAAUUACUCUUGAAUUUGAACACAUUAGAGCAUCUCCAAAUUUUCCAUUAUAUAUGCUCCUAGGAAAACCUUUCUUAGAAAAAAAAACACUAUAAAAACGUGGAAUAAAUUUAUAUUCUUGAAAGAUUCUACUAUACAAGGGACACUACCCCACCACAACGUACAAGCACGCCAAUAACGCAUGCUGUCCCCAUUUUUGCUUGGC
RNAcentral lists this long non-coding RNA (234 nucleotides) under Lathyrus oleraceus (garden pea). RNAcentral describes it as "Pisum sativum (pea) long non-coding RNA (PSAT_LNC015523)". The record is from RNAcentral. Lineage: Eukaryota; Viridiplantae; Streptophyta; Magnoliopsida; Fabales; Fabaceae.